CUGUAAACAGAAGUGAAGAAAUGGGAUGAU
This 30-nucleotide non-coding RNA is filed under the name Rattus norvegicus (Norway rat). The record is from RNAcentral. Lineage: Eukaryota; Metazoa; Chordata; Mammalia; Rodentia; Muridae.